This 207-nucleotide ribosomal RNA is filed under the name uncultured bacterium. RNAcentral describes it as "partial 16S ribosomal RNA". It matches the Rfam family "Bacterial small subunit ribosomal RNA", at positions 568 to 774 of the family's 1533-position model. The record is from RNAcentral.
CGUGUAGGCGGCUAGAUAGGUCCGUUGUGAAAACUCGAGGCUCAACCUCGAGACGUCGAUGGAAACCAUCUGGCUAGAGUCCGGAAGAGGAGAGUGGAAUUCCUGGUGUAACGGUGAAAUGCGCAGAUAUCAGGAAGAACGCCCGUGGCGAAGGCGGCUCUCUGGUACGUGACUGACGCUGAGACGCGAAAGCGUGGGGAGCAAACA